AUUGAACGCUGGCGGCAGGCCUAACACAUGCAAGUCGAGCGGAUGAAGGGAGCUUGCUCCUGGAUUCAGCGGCGGACGGGUGAGUAAUGCCUAGGAAUCUGCCUGGUAGUGGGGGAUAACGUCCGGAAACGGGCGCUAAUACCGCAUACGUCUUAAGGGAGAAAGUGGGGGAUCUUCGGACCUCACGCUAUCAGAUGAGCCUAGGUCGGAUUAGCUAGUUGGUGGGGUAAAGGCCUACCAAGGCGACGAUCCGUAACUGGUCUGAGAGGAUGAUCAGUCACACUGGAACUGAGACACGGUCCAGACUCCUACGGGAGGCAGCAGUGGGGAAUAUUGGACAAUGGGCGAAAGCCUGAUCCAGCCAUGCCGCGUGUGUGAAGAAGGUCUUCGGAUUGUAAAGCACUUUAAGUUGGGAGGAAGGGCAGUAAAUUAAUACCUUGCUGUUUUGACGUUACCAACAGAAUAAGCACCGGCUAACUUCGUG
This 484-nucleotide ribosomal RNA is filed under the name uncultured bacterium. Its description in RNAcentral is "partial 16S ribosomal RNA". It matches the Rfam family "Bacterial small subunit ribosomal RNA", at positions 30 to 507 of the family's 1533-position model. The record is from RNAcentral.